This 253-nucleotide ribosomal RNA is filed under the name uncultured bacterium. RNAcentral describes it as "partial 16S ribosomal RNA". It matches the Rfam family "Bacterial small subunit ribosomal RNA", at positions 524 to 776 of the family's 1533-position model. The record is from RNAcentral.
UACGAAGGGGGCUAGCGUUGCUCGGAAUCAUUGGGCGUAAAGCGCACGUAGGCGGACCAUCAAGUCGGAUGUGAAAUCCCUCGGCUUAACCGAGGACGUGCAUUCGAAACUGAUGGCCUUGAGUACGAAAGAGGAUCGCGGAAUUCCCGGUGUAGAGGUGAAAUUCGUAGAUAUCGGGAGGAACACCAGUGGCGAAGGCGGCGACCUGGGCCAAUACUGACGCUGAGGUGCGAAAGCGUGGGGAGCAAACAGG